CCUACGGGUGGCAGCAGUGGGGAAUAUUGCACAAUGGGGGAAACCCUGAUGCAGCGACGCCGCGUGAGUGAAGAAGUAUUUCGGUAUGUAAAGCUCUAUCAGCAGGGAAGAAAAUGACGGUACCUGAUUAAGAAGCCCUGGCUAACUACGUGCCAGCAGCCGCGGUCAUACGUAGGGGGCAAGCGUUAUCCGGAUUUACUGGGUGUAAAGGGGGCGUAGACGGCAGCACAAGUCUGGAGUGAAAUGCCGGGGCUUAACCCCGGAACUGCGUUGGAAACUGGGCAGCUAGAGUGCAGGAGAGGUAAGUGGAAUUCCUAGUGUAGCGGUGAAAUGCGUAGAUAUUAGGAGGAACACCAGUGGCGAAGGCGGCUUACUGGACUGUAACUGACGUUGAGGCUCGAAAGCGUGGGGAGCAAACAGGAUUAGAUACCCGAGUAGUC
This 440-nucleotide ribosomal RNA is filed under the name uncultured bacterium. RNAcentral describes it as "partial 16S ribosomal RNA". It matches the Rfam family "Bacterial small subunit ribosomal RNA", at positions 338 to 795 of the family's 1533-position model. The record is from RNAcentral.